CCAGCUAACCCAGAGCCGGCAGUCAGGAAAGGCUUCCUGGAGGAGGCCGCCUCUCAACAUGGAAGUCUACCAUCAGGCAGGAAACGGUGUGCCUGACCCAGGAACCAGCCUGGUCAAAGGCACUGCCCUUCUAGAGAGGUGCUAGCGACAUGAUGGGGCUGGAGAAAGGAGCAGGGCAGCGGGGAGCUAUGGAAGGCUUUUGAGCAGCGGAGUGACAAGAUAGAUCGAAGCACCAAGAGCGUUGAUAGACUGGAGGACCCGCUUGGGGCAGGAAGACCAGCGAGGAGGUGGCACAAGGGUCUGUUUUGGCAAUGGUGAAUGGAGCUGCGCAGACGUCCAUGCUCAGGUUUUCGUGUGGACUCACAUUUUCAACUCCUCUUGGAACUGGCUCGUGGUGAGACUUCACUCGAAAAAGUGGUUUCCACUUCACCUCCAGGGGCUUGGCUAGAAUUAAACUUACUGCCGCCUGUGUUGGUGGGGAUGUGGAACUCACUCGUGUGGCAAGACUGCCUGGCGGGUGGCUGGGGACCGAACAGAGGCCCCUCCCUGUGACCGAGCAAGCCCACCCUGGAGUAGGAAUCCGGCAGAAGUGCCUGGAUGCGUGUAGCGCGAGAAGUGGCCCCGAAUGCCCACAGCAGCGGCCGUCGGACAGCGCCCCCAACGGGAUCUACCGCGAUGCGCGCCCGACGGUAUAGUCCCACGAGGCAAUUCUCUUCCGGAGCAAAGACAAUCUAUAGGCGCAUGUGCCUGCAUGGAAGGUUCUCUCUGACACGCGGUGACCGAAAGACUCCAGGGACUAAAGAGCAGACGACACCGGGUGCUUCCAUUCGCGUGAAGGACAAAAAUCGUUGGAACGAAUCCCUGGUGAUGGACGACGGAAGAGUUGUUGCCUCUGGAGGUGGUCUUGACCGGGCCAUUGGAAACGCUCCGUCUCUUGGUUUGGGUCGUGGUCACCUGGGUGAACACCUAAGGGAAAAAUCGACUGAGUGUUUGCUCAGGAUCUGUGCCCCUUAGUGUGUUUUAUACCUCAACCUGUGUCUUUGCAACCACCAUGUAGGAAGCUGGCUGUCCUGAAGCCACCGUGCUGUGGAGACAGACUGUGCAGGGAGACCGCAGGUGGAGACGCCCGAGGGGCCCCAGCUGUCCAGCCUCUUCCAGUCUGUCCCAGCUGAUGCCACGUGAGCAGAGACCAGCUAUAGGUUCGCAAACUAAACAAGCUGGCUGCUGUUUAUGUGGGGGUGGGUUGAUAUGCGCCAAUAGGCAACUGGAACACCUAGUGACUUCAUUCCCCAGGGCUCCCUCCAGGCCACUCAUGCCAGCUGCACCCGGGCACACUCAGUUCCUUGCUGCGGGAGCCAGCUCCCCAGUCUGUGCGCACAAAUCUGCUCCACUCUCCCAGGCUCAGCCUCUGCCCUGCCUCCUCCGGGAAGCCUUCCUCUCUGCAGCGUUGGACAGUGUUGAAAAGCAAGCUGAUGAUAAUGGGGGGAGGUGGGGGGGUAUAUGGGAAA
Herpailurus yagouaroundi (jaguarundi) is the source of this 1508-nucleotide long non-coding RNA. RefSeq lists it as uncharacterized. NCBI's taxonomy places the organism in Eukaryota, Metazoa, Chordata, Mammalia, Carnivora, Felidae. The transcript has 5 exons. The record is from RefSeq and is a predicted model, not a curated record.